This 253-nucleotide ribosomal RNA is filed under the name uncultured bacterium. RNAcentral describes it as "partial 16S ribosomal RNA". It matches the Rfam family "Bacterial small subunit ribosomal RNA", at positions 524 to 776 of the family's 1533-position model. The record is from RNAcentral.
GACAGAGGGUGCAAACGUUGUUCGGAAUUACUGGGCGUAAAGCGUGUGUAGGCGGUCCGCUAAGUCGGGUGUGAAAGCCCUGGGCUCAACCCAGGAAGUGCACUCGAAACUGGCGGGCUAGAGUAUCGGAGAGGUUGGUGGAAUUCUCGGUGUAGAGGUGAAAUUCGUAGAUAUCGAGAGGAACACCGGUGGCGAAGGCAGCCUCCUGGGUCGACACUGACGCUCAGGCACGAAAGCGUGGGGAGCAAACAGG